This 1253-nucleotide long non-coding RNA is filed under the name Homo sapiens (human). Its description in RNAcentral is "non-protein coding LINC02289:44". Lineage: Eukaryota; Metazoa; Chordata; Mammalia; Primates; Hominidae. The record is from RNAcentral.
GCAUUUGAGCUAAAGCAAGGGAAGCAUUUCCCCUUCCCCUGGCUGAAAGCUCAGCUGACCCCGAGGCUCUUCUGGUCAUGCUUAGAGUGGGCCCUACAUCCAAUGACUGGUGUUCUCAUAAGGAGAGAGAGACAAAGAGUAGACAGACACAAGGGAGAAGGCCGUGUGAAGAUGGAGACAGAGAUUGGAAUGAUACAGCCACAAGCCAAGAAACAUCUGCGGCCGUCAGAAGUUGGAAGAGGCAAGGAAUGAUUUAUUCUUUCCCACUCAUUGUUUCACCAAUGAGCACCUUCCAUGUGCCACCGUUCUGACCCUGCUGACAAUGUGGUUUCAGACUUCUGGCCCCCAGAACUGUGAAAGAGUAAAUUUCUGUUAAGUUAUCUUGCUUGUGGUACUUUGUUACAGCAGCCCUGUGGAUCUAAUAUAGUCAUAAGAGACAUUGUGACCUCCUCCCUGCUCUCUUGAACCACUCAUUCUGGGAGAAGUCAGCUGCCAUGUCAUGAAGCUACUCAGGGAGGUCCAUGGAGAGGUCCACAUGGCAAGGAACUGAGGCCUCCUGCCAGUAGCCAGCACCAUCUUGCUGGCCAUGUGAGCGUGCCAUCUUAGAUGCAGAUCAUACGGCCCCAGUCAAGCCUUCAAAUGACUGCAUCCCUACUUGACAUUUUGACUGUAACCUCAUGACAAACCCUAAGCCAGAACACCAGCUAAGCCACUCCCCAAUUCCUCAUCAAGAGAAACUGAGAUAAUAAAUGUUUAUUAUUGUUUUAAGCUACUAAAUUUUGAGGUAAUCUGUUAUGUAGCAAUAGAUAACUAAUACUGAUAUCUGUCAUAUUGGGGCCUCAGUGUAACUUGGAACAGAAAGAGUUCCAUAUUAUAAUUCUUAAACAUUACUUGGAAUGGUUAGGGGCCCCAGUGCUAUUCUCUCUGGGGAUAUUUCCAGCAAUGGGCCCCACAGCCAUUUAUAGUGAGUUGUCCCACUUACUCUUUCACCAGUGAGCACUUUCCAUGUGUCAGAUGCCAUAUUAGAGACUGGGGCUAUAGAAAUGAACAGUCUUUUGGGAGGCCGAGGCAGGUGGAUCACCUGAGGUCAAGAAUUUGAGACCAGUCUGACCAACAUGGAGAAACCCCGUCUCUACUAAAAAAAAAAAAAAUACAAAAUUAGCUGGGUGUGGUGGUGCAUGCCUGUAAUCCCAGCUACUUGGGAGGCUGAGGCAGGAGAAUCACUUGAACCUGAGAGGCGGAGGUUGUGGUAA